RNAcentral lists this long non-coding RNA (4093 nucleotides) under Ooceraea biroi (clonal raider ant). Its description in RNAcentral is "uncharacterized LOC105282084". The record is from RNAcentral. Lineage: Eukaryota; Metazoa; Arthropoda; Insecta; Hymenoptera; Formicidae.
AGAAAAGAAAACGUAUGCUUGUAUAAUAAGCCCUGGCAUCAACGAAAAAGUCUUGUUCGCGUAGAAAAAAAAGUCCGCACCAUUUAAAUGUAGUUCUAGCAAGAACUGACUGGCGAACUGCUAAAAACCGAUUCGACCACCGAUAAAAAUCUCGGAAGUGCUAUAGACAAGCACUUCCGGUUUCAAACUUUCCGCAUUGAAUUCGACGAUAAAGCCUUCCAAACUUCAACGGCGUGUUUCAGUCUUCGAGGGCUACUUCGGCUCGAUUUCACGACUUUUCAUAGUAUACUCAGUAAAGCGAAAAAAGAAAUGCGAUGAAAAUUCACGUUAAUUUCUACAUUAUUCAUCAUAGCGUAAUACAAUAGGUAACAACAGGUAUAAUGAAUUUGAAAUUAAUGUAUGACAAACGUGGUUUCGUAUGUAGACCUGCUUUCAAACUUCACGAUAUGUCACUCUAUAUUAUUCAUUAAUCCAUUAAGAGUAUAUACACACAUACAUCUCUCAUUAUAAUAAAUUAUAAUUCUGUAUUUAAUUAUUCUGCUGGAUAUUGAUUUAUUACAACAUAAUAAGACAUUCAUUUGCAAGAAUUAGGGUAAUAUCGUUCUCAAUAUCAGGAAGGUAACAACGGAAAUCACUAUGUGCCAUAUCAGCAUGUGCAUACGUAUACAAGGCGAAUUAAAUAAACAAGGGAUAUUUACACGAGUAGUGCUGAACAGCAUAGAAAGCGAUAAGCGACUAUUAAUUGGUCCUGCAUCAGAAGGCAAACAGUAAUUAAUUUUAUUAACAUAUAGCGAUGGUUGCAUUGUCCUCCGUUCUCGUUAUUAAUUACUACAUUGAGACGUAUAAAGAAUGUACAUGUGUUUUUCUAUGUAUCGUCGUAAUUUAUUUGAUUACUGAGCAAAAUACAUCUAAAUCUUGCAUUUUCAUAAAAUUUUUGAAUGAUAAUAAAAGAUACAGAAUUAUAAAACUUUUUCUGAAGAAAAAUAAUGGAUAUAAUGAUCAUAAAACGGUAUCAAAUAAACAAAUAAUCCUGGUAAUAGUGUAUAGUAAUAUCAAGAAUUUCGAUCUGUACAUUUGCAGUUGAACACGUAAUGAUUCCGAUUUACGAACAAUCAUUAAAACUAAUCACCAGCAAUAAAUAAUUCGAAAGCAGAAAUCUACCGGUGACCUGAACCGCCUAUACCAACCGAGAAGAAAUAGAACACUUCUCCAUAAGUUUCCGCUACGGCGCGAUAUUAAUAACAAAUUAGCAUGAGUAAUUAGGUAAUUAGAAAGACACUAAUUGGGCCAGCACGCGCUAAGUACACUUUAAUUAUUGUUCUCCGCCGAUUAAUUAUGCAUAUUCUAAUUAGCCACACGAAUAAACCAUCCUGCUUAUACUGCCGCUGGGAUGCCAAUUCGAGCAAACCGGCGCGGUAAGCAAACUUUUCCCGCACUUUUUUCUAGAGCGCGUUUCGUUGUCGAGUGCAUCCGCUAAUUACUUAGAACGAUGCGCGGGCAGGUGCAGCAUUGAAAGCAUCGCGGCCGAAACAGUCCUUCGCACUUUUCCGCCCGUUAAGUAAUUUCGGGUAUACUCAAAUGCUGCAACUUCCAGCUUUCUGCGGCAAUAGUUAUACAGAGUGCUCGCGAAAUACUACCUCUAUUUCUGGCCCCUAUCUAUUUUAACCGACGUGUGAACUUGACAUCUGACUUUAAAAAAAAUAGAAGCUACCAACGCGGCUUGUUAGCAUUUCUUCAUCGGCACUUGUUCAUACUUUCCUUAGUGUUUCAUUCAUGUCUCAAAAUAAAAUCAAAAGUAGUUUGAUACUGGCCAAUUGACUUGACGUUUUUACACAAUCUCUAAAAAUAAUUAUGUUACUCCUUCGAUAUUGAAAAUCCUGCAGGUUUUGAAUUCUUUAAGAUAUAAAGUAGAAAGCGCUCCAACUCGAUCAUCUUCGUCAAAUCUGAAGAAGAUUUUUACUUUUACUUUUAUAAAAUAAAUUUCUUAUGUACAAACUCUCUUUUCCCAUCAACUGUGCAUUGGAUGAUCUUUUUAUACGCCACCGUUUUUGGAACACCCUAUGUAUGAUAGCGUAAGCCGAGCUAUUCGAGCGAGCAGUUGCACAACGAAACGGCUCGGCGAAAUGGCCGAGCUUACAGAAAAUCCGACUAGAGGAAGCGAUCCGCCGAGCCGAGAAGGAUUCGACGCCCCGGAAUCUCCAGUAUGCCAGCGAAGGCACCGUGGGACGAAGGAUGGGAAUCCGGGAAAGCGGGGGAACUGCUGGAUAUUUCAAAAGACGAGCAUAUCCGGCUCUGGACAAUUGCCAAACGGCGUAACAUUGAGCGCACUCAUUAUGAAAGUUGAUGCCAGUGCGGAUGUUGUUUUGCAAUUUCCCGGAUUCCUGGCACCUUCUUUUUGCACACGUUUGUCGAAAGUUUCGAAUUUCCUGGUCUCCGCGAUGCUGCGGAGAUUGCAACGAUAGUAUGUGGUAGUAUGGGGGAUUUUUUGUUAAACCGCCACGGGCUAUGCUAGAAAGAGGUGGAUGAUUCUGUUACGCUGGUUUACGGAUUGAUUUCUUGUUGCCCGCCGGAGAUCAGUGCAACAUCAAUUUUACUGUGCGAACAGCCGUGAAAAAGCUGUCGGCAAAAAAGAAAGUUUAGCACCGAGAUGCAAAAUCGUUCCAGAAAUAACUGAACGCGAACGAGAACUUUAAAAGAAUAGCCUCGAAAAAAGCGAGUUUCUGAGUUCAGAUAUCGUCGCGCGUCACGUGCGCGGCUCUCGUUCUGAGAGAGUUCAAUGACAAAGCCAAAUGCCAUGCUGAUUACGUAACCGCAAAUGGCUUAUCAUCACGUAACGUUCACGUUGAGAGGCAAAUUUAUCGCUACAGUUAUCAAGCCAUGCCUGAUUGUUAAUUCGUAGAAGUCAAUGCACCUUAAGAACGUACAUUACUGUCAGAAAUCUUUUCAGAAAUCUUUCUAAGGAAACGAUACAACAGUAAAUUAUUUUCAAAUUCGAGGUUUGAAAAUUAAGAGACAGAAUAUAGAAAAUUAAGAGAUAAAUAAGUAAUUGACAAUUCUCUACUUUAGAGAUCACGUUGUUUUUUCACAGAGUAGUAACAGAAUUAUGAGACUUUGCAUGAAAAAAGUUGGAGAAAUAAAUCGUAUAGGUUUCCAAGUAAUCGACAAGCCGAUAACUUAUUUAAACGUCGCUAGUGAGCAACGCCGAGUUGUAGAAGCCUCCAGAAGGUCUUUCUGAUAAAUUCGCACGUGAAUGAAGUGGCUUUAGCCGUGCUCCACGAGAGUGCGCCGCGAAAAUCAAUGAGUGGAGCAGUAGAUAAGUUUUCGCAAGGUUACCAUCGUCCCGGUCCGCGCGUCUCGACCAAUAAAAUCGACUUUGCCUUGAGUGGCGACCUUGUACCAGAACAGAAACCACGUGGCUGUGUGAACAUGGUAAAACAUUCUUUACAUCAGCGUCAUACAGCUAAAGUAUGGGCAAUUCUUAGUUACGGAUUCGGAGCAAGAUGACUAAUGGUCAAGUGCAUCAAAUGAAAUGCUUAGUGAAGAGGUAUCUUCAUCGCAAAUUUGUUACUUUUAGACUUUGCACUGUAAUACUCCUGUUCACUGCGAAGAUUGUCAGUUACGAUUUUCCGGUUCAACCUCUUACGGAAAAACGAAUGUUAAGAGUGUCUCCAACAACAGAUUAACAAGCUUCGCAUUACAUCUCAUAUCUUUUGCAGGAAGAGAAUACGAGAUUUUUGUCCACGCAUUAAUAUCCUCGUUGUUAUUGUUCUCCUUCUCAUCUACAUUUGAUUUGAUAAAAUUAAGUGAGCUUUAAUUGUGUUUUGAAGAUAUUUAUAUGUAUUAUAAAAUAAAAUUUCUAAAGCUACCAAUUCUGUUAGAAACUUAAAAAAUUCAAGAAUUUACUAGAAUGCAAUAAUUGAACAUGCACGUCUUAUAAUAAAACGUACAUAUUUAUAAGUGUGCAUGCUUGCAAGUAAUGCAGAAUAUAAAUAUGUUUUUUGAAAUUCAUAGACUAACACUUAGGCAAAGGAACAUCGUUAAUGAUAGUGAAAUCAUGUUCUCUUCCACAUUAAUAACAUUAAUUAUGAGAAGA